RNAcentral lists this ribosomal RNA (498 nucleotides) under uncultured bacterium. Its description in RNAcentral is "partial 16S ribosomal RNA". It matches the Rfam family "Bacterial small subunit ribosomal RNA", at positions 29 to 523 of the family's 1533-position model. The record is from RNAcentral.
AUUGAACGCUGGCGGAAUGCUUUACACAUGCAAGUCGAGCGGCAGCGCGGGGCAACCUGGCGGCGAGCGGCGAACGGGUGAGUAAUGUAUCGGAACGUGUCCUGUCGUGGGGGAUAGCCCGGUGAAAACCGGAUUAAUACCACAUACGAUCGAGAGAUGAAAGCGGGGGACCGUAAGGCCUCGCGCGAUCGGAGCGGCCGAUGUCAGAUUAGGUAGUUGGUGGGGUAAAGGCCCACCAAGCCGACGAUCUGUAGCUGGUCUGAGAGGACGAGCAGCCACACUGGGACUGAGACACGGCCCAGACUCCUACGGGAGGCAGCAGUGGGGAAUUUUGGACAAUGGGCGAAAGCCUGAUCCAGCAAUGCCGCGUGCAGGAAGAAGGCCUUCGGGUUGUAAACUGCUUUUGUACGGAACGAAAAGGCUCUGGUUAAUACCUGGGGCUCAUGACGGUACCGUAAGAAUAAGCACCGGCUAACUACGUGCCAGCAGCCGCAGUAA